AUUGAACGCUGGCGGCAUGCUUUACACAUGCAAGUCGAACGGAAGCGCGGGCUUCGGCCUGGCGGCGUGUGGCGAACGGGCGAGUAAUACAUCGGAACGUGCCCAGUAGUGGGGGAUAGCUUGGCGAAAGCCGGAUUAAUAUAGCAUACGACCAGAGGGUGAAAGCGGGGGAUCUUCGGACCUCGAGCUACCGGAGGGGCCGAUGGCAGAUUAGCUAGUUGGUGGGGUAAAGGCCUACCAAGGCGACGAUCUGUAGCUGGUCUGAGAGGACGACCAGCCACACUGGGACUGAGACACGGCCCAGACUCCUACGGGAGGCAGCAGUGGGGAAUUUUGGACAAUGGGCGAAAGCCUGAUCCAGCAAUGCCGCGUGUGUGAUGAAGGCCUUCGGAUUGUAAAGCACUGUUGGCGGGAACGAAAAGGACUGUGCCAAUACCACGGUUCGAUGACGGUACCCGCAGAAUAAGCACCGGCUAACUACGUG
RNAcentral lists this ribosomal RNA (484 nucleotides) under uncultured bacterium. Its description in RNAcentral is "partial 16S ribosomal RNA". It matches the Rfam family "Bacterial small subunit ribosomal RNA", at positions 29 to 507 of the family's 1533-position model. The record is from RNAcentral.